GCCUUCGUGGUGUAAUGGUAGCACACUCGGCGCGGAUUCGAGAUGCCCAGGUUCAAUUCCCGGCGAGGGCA
This 71-nucleotide transfer RNA is filed under the name Stegodyphus dumicola. Its description in RNAcentral is "tRNA-Pro". It matches the Rfam family "tRNA". From Rfam's summary of the family: Transfer RNA (tRNA) molecules are approximately 80 nucleotides in length. Their secondary structure includes four short double-helical elements and three loops (D, anti-codon, and T loops). Lineage: Eukaryota; Metazoa; Arthropoda; Arachnida; Araneae; Eresidae. The record is from RNAcentral.